This 942-nucleotide long non-coding RNA is filed under the name Linum usitatissimum (flax). RNAcentral's name for it is "long non-coding RNA (LUSI_LNC003200)". Lineage: Eukaryota; Viridiplantae; Streptophyta; Magnoliopsida; Malpighiales; Linaceae. The record is from RNAcentral.
UAAAUGACUACCGACCUGCUUCUUGAUCUGCCGGUGGAAAAUCUCCAAGAAUUGGGUUAAAAUACCCUCAAAUGGCAGCUAAGAAGGCUUCAUUUUUGUUAAAAAGUGUGCGAUUGAUCAAAUUCCAGGUGAAGGAAAGGAUUCGGGUGGCCUGUAGCUUGGUCGUCCCUCAACUCUCUUCUUAUCCCUGCUAGUUGUCUUCACUGAAAGUUUAUCCUUGACUUACUGAAAGUAUCUGGUGCUGAAGUGAUGAUCAUGUGUUGGCCAGGAUUCUAUCUUGAGAGAAAGCUGGACUGCUAGAGUUGCAGCUGGGUUGCCCUUCAUCGAUUCCACGGGUGGGUUCUUCCUCUGUUUUCUAAUAUUUUUAAUGGGUUUCUUAGACGGUUAUGGUGGUAGAGUUUGGAGGAAAUGGGAAUCUGGGUUUUGUGAUUUAAGUUUGAAGCUUGAUAUCUCUUAUAAGAAAGUUCUCUCCACGGAAGCCUUUUCUGAUAGCUAAUCAAAAUACUUUAGAUGCGUUCCUUGCAUGCUCAGUUAGUCAGUUAUACUAUUUUGAGUUUGUUUAUUCAUGAUUGAUUAGAAGUAGAGAUCUUGUUAAUCUUGUGAAGUUUGAGGAAGAUAAUCCAGAAGAAAUUUACUUUUUGCUUUAUUGAACUCUUUGGCUAAUUCUAACAAUUAGUUUCUCUAUUGACCUCUUGAAUUAAAUCUAUAAACUGUAGCAAUAAAAACCAUGUUAAACAAGUGCCAUCAUGUUCAAUGCAUAUAGUAUAUACAGAAACAAUGUUAAUGGGUUUGUUCCUGUUACAGUGCACACAAGGCUUCCUGAAGAUGUUUGGAAUAUCCCGCCCAUAAAAGAAACAUAUUCUCAGCUCCGAUUUCUUAACCAUGUCCAGAACUUUAUACCAGCAUGGUCCAGGAAACCAAAAUACAACAAUCUCCAACGUA